Non-coding RNA from Paramuricea clavata, 116 nucleotides. The record is from the annotation of a GenBank genome assembly. Lineage: Eukaryota; Metazoa; Cnidaria; Anthozoa; Malacalcyonacea; Plexauridae.
ACGCACCAACCUCGCAUGCCAGGCUUUCUACUUCCGCUUCCCUCCCAAACACGCUCUGCAUGCUGGAGCGUGGGGAGGGAAGCGGAAGUAGAGAGCCUGGCUGCUCGUCUUUCUUU